This 918-nucleotide ribosomal RNA is filed under the name Salmonella enterica subsp. enterica serovar Kentucky. Its description in RNAcentral is "partial 23S ribosomal RNA". It matches the Rfam family "Bacterial large subunit ribosomal RNA", at positions 566 to 1443 of the family's 2925-position model. The record is from RNAcentral. Lineage: Bacteria; Pseudomonadati; Pseudomonadota; Gammaproteobacteria; Enterobacterales; Enterobacteriaceae.
UCGCGGUGGCGGAGCGUCGUUUGCGACGCCCAACACACAAAACAAGCGGUGAGUGCUUUGGGGUGGGGUGACUGCGUACCUUUUGUAUAAUGGGUCAGCGACUUAUAUUCUGUAGCAAGGUUAACCGUAUAGGGGAGCCGGAGGGAAACCGAGUCUUAACUGGGCGUUAAGUUGCAGGGUAUAGACCCGAAACCCGGUGAUCUAGCCAUGGGCAGGUUGAAGGUUGGGUAACACUAACUGGAGGACCGAACCGACUAAUGUUGAAAAAUUAGCGGAUGACCUGUGGCUGGGGGUGAAAGGCCAAUCAAACCGGGAGAUAGCUGGUUCUCCCCGAAAGCUAUUUAGGUAGCGCCUCGUGAACUCAUCUUCGGGGGUAGAGCACUGUUUCGGCUAGGGGGUCAUCCCGACUUACCAACCCGAUGCAAACUGCGAAUACCGAAGAAUGUUAUCACGGGAGACACACGGCGGGUGCUAACGUCCGUCGUGAAGAGGGAAACAACCCAGACCGCCAGCUAAGGUCCCAAAGUCAUGGUUAAGUGGGAAACGAUGUGGGAAGGCCCAGACAGCCAGGAUGUUGGCUUAGAAGCAGCCAUCAUUUAAAGAAAGCGUAAUAGCUCACUGGUCGAGUCGGCCUGCGCGGAAGAUGUAACGGGGCUAAACCAUGCACCGAAGCUGCGGCAGCGACGCUGAUGCGUUGUUGGGUAGGGGAGCGUUCUGUAAGCCUGUGAAGGUGGCCUGUGAGGGUUGCUGGAGGUAUCAGAAGUGCGAAUGCUGACAUAAGUAACGAUAAAGCGGGUGAAAAGCCCGCUCGCCGGAAGACCAAGGGUUCCUGUCCAACGUUAAUCGGGGCAGGGUGAGUCGACCCCUAAGGCGAGGCCGAAAGGCGUAGUCGAUGGGAAACGGGUUAAUAUUCCCGUA